UACACUCCUGCGGGAGGCAGCAGUGGGGAAUUUUGGACAAUGGGCGAAAGCCUGAUCCAGCAAUGCCGCGUGUGUGAAGAAGGCCUUCGGGUUGUAAAGCACUUUUGUCCGGAAAGAAAUCCUUGGCUCUAAUACAGUCGGGGGAUGACGGUACCGGAAGAAUAAGCACCGGCUAACUACGUGCCAGCAGCCGCGGUAAUACGUAGGGUGCGAGCGUUAAUCGGAAUUACUGGGCGUAAAGCGUGCGCAGGCGGUUUGCUAAGACCGAUGUGAAAUCCCCGGGCUCAACCUGGGAACUGCAUUGGUGACUGGCAGGCUAGAGUAUGGCAGAGGGGGGUAGAAUUCCACGUGUAGCAGUGAAAUGCGUAGAGAUGUUGAGGAAUACCGAUGGCGAAGGCAGCCCCCUGGGCCAAUACUGACGCUCAUGCACGAAAGCGUGGGGAGCAAACAGGAUUAGAAACCCCAGUAGUCCCAUGAU
This 478-nucleotide ribosomal RNA is filed under the name uncultured organism. RNAcentral describes it as "partial 16S ribosomal RNA". It matches the Rfam family "Bacterial small subunit ribosomal RNA", at positions 332 to 801 of the family's 1533-position model. The record is from RNAcentral.